GCGCGCGUGGCGAAAUUGGCAUCGGCACCGGGCUCAAAACUCGGCGAGUCUCGACUCUUGCAAUUUCGACCUCUGCCCUGCGCA
Molecule: transfer RNA, 84 nt
Filed under: Acidimicrobiia bacterium
Lineage: Bacteria; Bacillati; Actinomycetota; Acidimicrobiia
Description: tRNA-Leu
Source: RNAcentral